UAGAGGUGGGAGAGGUGAGCCACGGAGAGAGCCACGGACAGAGGUGAAUUAGGGACAGAGGUGAGUCACGAACGGAACUGAUUCACGGACGGAGCUGAAUCACGGACGGGGAACAAGAACAGACGACAGGCGGCAAGCAACGGAGUAACGGGAUCUCUCUCUCUCUCUCUCUCUCUCUCUCUCUCUCUCUCUCUCUCUCUCUCUCUCUCUCUCUCUCUCUCUCUCUCUCUUUCUCUCUGCCUCAGGGAGCCGACUGCUGCAGGAUGCGCCAGGAUCCUCACGCCCUCCACUCACCUGACUCUCGGCGAGGGACAUGAAGUACACCUUUUCACACUUCUUGUUGCUGUUGUAAGGAAUGGGCGCCCUCUGCAGGAUCUUAGAUUGCGUGACGUUCUCCGUUGCGCCCCAG
Molecule: long non-coding RNA, 409 nt
Organism: Scylla paramamosain (green mud crab)
Lineage: Eukaryota; Metazoa; Arthropoda; Malacostraca; Decapoda; Portunidae
Exons: 3
Source: RefSeq, a predicted model, not a curated record